UGGCACACGAUACACUGAUUUCAUUAUUUAUUUAACGAUUUGCAUUGAAAAUAUCGUUAAAAAAAGAUUAGAGGGGCGACCAAGUGUAUCAGGCGCACACUUGUUAUGAUGCUCGUAUAUUCUCCUAAACUAACCGUUUUAAUCAUGCGCUCAGUGAAAUUAGAAGGCAAUACCUCGCACCAUUUGGAUUUCCCAACUUAAACAAGUUUUGUUGUAGUUAACAAGUGUAAAGAGGAUGACGAGGACGGGUUUUAUUGUUCUCUAAAGUAAAAAAUGUUAAUAAUUUUCUCGUCUUCACCUGCACGCAGCUUAAGCUCUCUCUCACACACACACACACACACACACACACACACACACACACACACACACCCACAACAAGAAAGCUGUUCUGAGUGAAACAUCUGCCAGACGCCUGAGGCAGUUCAACCGUUAUGUAAUGUGAUGUAAAAACAGACUUCCGACAAGUGGAAGCCCCCAAACUUUACAACACACAUCCCAACUUUGCUAUUUUGACAUUAAAUUCUGAAAAUAUUUCACAUUAUCAAAUGUACGAGGCAUACAAGGCAUAAGAUAUAUGUUCUGAGCAUCAGGAAAAUAAUUUCUAAUGCCUCUAAAUUGGCCGGCGUGUGGCCUGACAGAGCACAAUGUGGAGGACCAGGACAAAGCACGACUACAAACAGGUCAAUGAGGCGCACUCUGCGCCGCGUUCUUUCAAUAAUUCAGCAGGGAAGCUGUGUUUUGUGUUACGUUGUUCACUUCCUCCGUGAUUAUCGUCGAACUAUCCACACUAAAAGGCAUGAAAGCUGUGUGAUCUUGAUAUUUAAGAGACCAAUCAUUUUGCCGAUUAAUGCAGAAAAUAAUUGCCAGAUCAAUUGAUGCAGCAAAUAACUGUUGGUUGCAGAUGCCCAGGCAGACAAGGAAGUGAUUACUUACCCUGGAUAUUGUGGAUAUGUGGGUUCAGCAGAGACGUUUAGUGCUACUCGGGUGCACAACGCUCAACAGCCUUUUUUCAGUGCAAUGAAGCGGCAUCCAUUUGAGUGAGUCAAAGAAAGACGUGCCGCGUGUUUCACCGUGCAUCCUUCAGGGCGUGACCCUUCCACAGCCGGAUCUUAUCUGUUAUUAAUAUGGACGAGACAUUUAAACGCAUUUUCUUGCCUUUUUCUCUCCAGCGAGCGCAAAAACCCUUUGAUAUGGUUCCAUGGAAAGGGAAAGAAGAUAAUUGGGGAAGCCUUGCUAAUCCUGACUAUGGGGCUUUUCCUUUGUUAAUAUUCCCUCUGUGUGGGUCGUGGCGGACGACACGGAAAUGAAUCGCUGACCAAAAUAAAAAAAAUAACUAAAUGCAUGCAAUGUGUACGUGUUGUUGGCGCGGUAGUUGAGACAUGCGUGGCUUUAACCCUCACGUCCCACUGGCACUUUUUAACACAGCCUCCCCACUGACAUUCAGUGAUAUUUCCAUCUUCUUAAUUAUGUGACAACGAGCAGGUUUGCGACAUUAAAGCCAGCUGCGUCUUUUGCGCUGAAGCAUUUCGUCAUCGUUGGCUCUUAAUCCUCGUUGUCCAGCAGUCAGAAGGACGGUGCAAGUUCAUUUCACAGGACGCGAUAAUCAACGUGGCUGCUUCGUACCGCUCUGCCGGAGGGUUGCGCUGCACCUUCUGUCUGUGUUUUGUUUGUUUGUGCGGGUGAUGGGUGGGGGACUGAUUAGGCAGCGGUGAAGAAGGAAAACUGGUGGAAAGCAGCUCCCUCUCUCCUCUUUUCUCGCCGCGGGGUCGGCGGUUCUGCCGAGCGGAUCGGCCUGAUAGUAGCUCACAGCCUGGAGGCCGUCUGGGUGGUUGUAGGGGUGAGAAGCUCGUUUCGUUUCUCCUGUUUGGUGCCUGGGAGAUGAAUGAGCUGCCUGGUAAGUAAGUGCCUACCACAAUUUACAAAAAUAUAAAUACUGUAUGCUGUCUGGCAGCAGCACUGGGUCAUUAUUGGGAGUUAAGACUUGUCUGACAGUUAAAUAGCUCCUUGUUGGUUUGAAACGCAACUCGUCUCUUAAGAUGCAAAUCAUGGGCCAAGCAUUGCCCACACAUCUGCUGACUACACUAUGAUAGCAGAUGCAUAGCCUCUUGCAAUGAGAUGUACUUCUUUUGCAAAAAGAAAAUAAUUAUGUAGAGAAAACUUGAAUUCCAGCCAUUUAAAACUCCAUCACAUUUUACUCCUCAUUCUUCUACCUACAACUUUCUUGCCAUCCAUGCUUCUGUCAAUCACACACUUUCAUGUUCCCCUCGGUGACAGCUGAUGCGUGAUGACGCACAUUGUCAGCAGGUUGUCAGGCGUCUACUUCACUAAAGAAGAUGGAAAUGGGAGCCGGGUGCCUGCGGUCUUCAGGGGUCUCUCCAAACCUUUUCCCAGGAAACCAGGAGCUCCUUUGGUGGACGUGUCGAACGUUUUCAUGAAGCCAACUGAGGGAACGGCGCCGACAGGCGGGAGACGACGCACGCUUGUUCACAGAUUCAAGGGCCCGUGGUAGCCUUGGUCAUUCGUCAAUGUAAGAAUGUCUUCUUGGCUCAAGCCCACCUUCGUGGUCAUGUGGAAAUAUUGCUAUGUGGGUUUUGGCCUCAAUAAAACAUAAAGGUGUUUUCCAGAGAAGUUAGAGGUUUUCAUCUGUCCUGCUUUGGGGUUAUUCUUUAGCCUUGAUGUUGCCGGGCUAGCAGGUCUCUUUAAGUCUGUGAAGCAGGUGUGAAAGCUGCACCCGGAGCUGUGAAAUAAAAAUAAACCACAAAUAUCAAAGGAUUGUGUGUUUUGUAUGUAUGUGUAUCAUUUGAUUGAGUGAUUUCCGUGUCGAUCAGACCGCUGUCCUCGUGUCCUACCCUGAAUUCGCUGUGUAUUAAGUCCAUUUAACAGUGCGUGACAUCACGACCCCAAAGCAUCCUGCUUUAAUCCAACAUAACCCAGGGAACACCGCUAGCCAAGAUUUAUCUGUCCAGCCCGAUUACUGUUAGGAACUUACAGUCAAUUGCUUUGAAUCAGAUAUUGAGCAGUUUGUGACACCAGGGAACGUAAAUAUAGGCAAUAUAAGCAUCAUAGAUGUGCAUGAGCCGUUUCCAAAAACAUGGUGGACAGUUCUUUUUGUACGGCAAACUCGAUAUGUAAUAAAGUCUAAUUAUUAUUGUUCA
Non-coding RNA from Gasterosteus aculeatus aculeatus (three-spined stickleback), 3155 nucleotides. The record is from RefSeq and is a predicted model, not a curated record. NCBI's taxonomy places the organism in Eukaryota, Metazoa, Chordata, Actinopteri, Perciformes, Gasterosteidae.